UACGGGAGGCAGCAGUAGGGAAUCUUCCGCAAUGGACGAAAGUCUGACGGAGCAACGCCGCGUGAGUGAUGAAGGUUUUCGGAUCGUAAAGCUCUGUUGUUAGGGAAGAACAAGUGCCGUUCAAAUAGGGCGGCACCUUGACGGUACCUAACCAGAAAGCCACGGCUAACUACGUGCCAGCAGCCGCGGUAAU
RNAcentral lists this ribosomal RNA (193 nucleotides) under uncultured bacterium. RNAcentral's name for it is "partial 16S ribosomal RNA". It matches the Rfam family "Bacterial small subunit ribosomal RNA", at positions 340 to 524 of the family's 1533-position model. RNAcentral also lists the same sequence under 1 other name. The record is from RNAcentral.